UACGUAGGGAGCAAGCGUUGUCCGGAAUCAUUGGGCGUAAAGCGCGCGUAGGUGGCCUCAUAAGUCCGCUGUGAAAGUCAAAGGCUCAACCUUUGAAAGCCGGUGGAUACUGUGAGGCUAGAGUACGGAAGAGGCGAGUGGAAUUCCGGGUGUAGUGGUGGAAUACGUAGAUAUCCGGAGGAACACCAGCGGCGAAGGCGGCUUUCUGGUCUGAUACUGACGCUGAGGCGCGAAAGCGUGGGGAGCGAUCCGG
Molecule: ribosomal RNA, 253 nt
Filed under: uncultured bacterium
Lineage: Bacteria
Description: partial 16S ribosomal RNA
Rfam family: Bacterial small subunit ribosomal RNA
Source: RNAcentral